GAUGAACGCUGGCGGCGUGCCUAAUACAUGCAAGUCGAGCGAACGGACGAGAAGCUUGCGUCUCGGAUGUUAGCGGCGGACGGGAGAGUAACACGUGGAUAACCUACCUAUAAGACGGGGAAAACUACGGGAAACCGGAGCUAAUACCGGAUAAGAUUUUGAACCGCAGGGGGCAAAAGUGAAAGACGGUGUUGCGGGCACUUAUAGAGGGAUACGCGCUGCUUUAGCUAGUUGGGCAGGUAACGGCUUACGAAGGCAACGAGGCAUAGCCGACCUGUGUGGCUGAUAGCCGACCCUGGAACUGAGCCACCCUCAUGACUCCUACGGGACGCAGCAGUAGCCAAUCUUCCGCAAUGGUCGGAAGCCUUACGGAGCAACGCCGCGCCAGUUGUGACGGUCUUCCGAUCGUAAUACUCUGUUACUAGGUAAGAACAUAUGUGUCCGUUGCUGUGCACAUCUUGACGGUAACUAAUCAGAAAGCCACGGCUAACUACGUG
RNAcentral lists this ribosomal RNA (497 nucleotides) under uncultured bacterium. RNAcentral describes it as "partial 16S ribosomal RNA". It matches the Rfam family "Bacterial small subunit ribosomal RNA", at positions 28 to 507 of the family's 1533-position model. The record is from RNAcentral.